Long non-coding RNA from Homo sapiens (human), 1234 nucleotides. Ensembl annotates it as long intergenic non-protein coding RNA 1304. NCBI's taxonomy places the organism in Eukaryota, Metazoa, Chordata, Mammalia, Primates, Hominidae. The record is from Ensembl.
CCCACAACUGCCUCACAAGCAUCCCAGAGUCCAGUCAGCAGACAGCAGAAGAGACUGUCAGCAGACCACCUUGGAGGGGAUGCUUGGAGCUGCCUAACGUGUGAUUCAAAGAUGAAUUCCAUGUGUUUGGAGAAGAAGCCCUAGCCUCAACACAAAGGUUGGCCACAUUCCAGCCAAGGUAGCACGGAGUGAAGGCCCGUGGAGGGAGAGCUGGGCUUUUCUGAACUACUUCAGUACACCUUGCUGUGCCUUGGCCUGCCGUGUUUCAUCCCCAUGGCUGUCCUCAGUGAUGUGCAUGGUCACUGCUCCCUUCACCACUGAGAAGACGGGCACAGGACAGUCAGGGGAUGUGUCCAAGGUCCCACAGCAGGAAGGGCUGGAGCCAGAAUGUGGUCUGAGAGGCUGGAUAUACAAAGAGACAAUGGCAUGACCAUCUGUACAAAUGGAACUAUGGCCCACAACCUGCAGCAGCCAGCCCAGGAAGCCAACCCGUCACCUGCAGCAGCCAGGAUGGAUGCUGGCCUGCCCUCAGUAAGUUACGCCUGUGGGAAGUCAGGCCCCUAUCUCUAGCCCCAAUCUAGGAAUCAAGCAACCCAUAAGAGUCAGUCCCAGAUGCCCAAGACCUGGUUAAUAACUCACAGCUGCCCCAACUCCUGCCCUGACAUCCCACUGAGGACAAACCAAGAAAGACAAAUGUGCUCCCCUUAAACGCACACGGGAUGCCCCGAUUCUAGUUGCCGCCCCAGCUUCCAGGCCAGCAGCCUCCACUGGGGCUCACCGGGUACCUUCCCUUGCCCUGGAAAGCUCCCACGCCCACACCGGGUGCCUUCUCUUCCCCUGGGAAGCUCCCACACCCAGCCUGCCUGAGUCGCUGCAAAAAUGUAAGUGACAGUGGCCAGCUCUUUCGCUCUUACUCCAGCUGGAGAUAAGCAGCCUCUGUCUGUCCUCGUUUGGGCACCUUGCUCCUUCCCAGGAGUCUGAGAGACUCUCCUGCCCCACAGUGUGGGCUCCACCACCCUCCUGCCUGCUGUGGGAAAUCAGGAGGGUGAAGGUGAAGCUGGACUUGGCCCAGAGGUGCCCACAGGGACGCCCAGAGCUGCACAAGCUCCCUCCAUCUUGCCUCUGGGACCAGCUCUGCAUUGCUCCAAAGCCCUCAUCAGUGUCUGCUUUCUGUUGCAAUAACUGAAUACCUGAGAUUGGACAAUUUAUAAAGAAAAAAAUUAUAUCUGACAAU